Molecule: long non-coding RNA, 259 nt
Filed under: Homo sapiens (human)
Lineage: Eukaryota; Metazoa; Chordata; Mammalia; Primates; Hominidae
Description: HSALNT0334598
Source: RNAcentral
CCUAAAGUCUUGGAAGAAGGGGAGAAACGUAUGUAUGCUCUGAAGAAACCUGUCAUCACCACACCACUGGAUCCUCCAUCUCUACCUAUUUGGGAAGACCCUAAAAGCACUAAAUUAAACCAUCUUAUUUACUUCAAGAUCUAGAUUGUUUGCAAGAAAAAGCUGAAGAGACAGACUACUACAUGCCUUUUGGAAGUGUGAGCUAACUCCUUAGAAGCAGCCUGGAGGGAAAAAUAACAUUCAUUUUCACACUCAGGAA